CUUUUCUUGUAAAUAUAUAGGAAGUAUAGCCUGCCCAAUGAUUAUUUUAAUGGCCGCGGUAUUUUGACCGUGCAAAGGUAGCAUAAUCAUUAGUCUUUUAAUUGAAGGCUGGAAUGAAUGGCUGGACGAGAUAAUAACUAUCUUAAUUUUAUUAUUUUGAAUUUAAUUUUUGAGUUAAAAAGCUUAAAUUUUUUUUUGGGACGAGAAGACCCUAUAGAGUUUAAUAGUUGAGUUAUUAUUAAUAGAGUAUUAUAAUUAUUGAAUUAACUUAAUUAUUUUAUUGGGGUGAUAGGAAGAUAUGUGUAACUCUUUUUAAUAUUUUUUAUAAAUUUAUAUAAUUAUUGAUCCAUAUUUAAUGAUUAAAAGACUAAAUUACC
This 377-nucleotide ribosomal RNA is filed under the name cf. Rhabdoblatta sp. MNHN BL140. RNAcentral's name for it is "partial 16S ribosomal RNA". The record is from RNAcentral. Lineage: Eukaryota; Metazoa; Arthropoda; Insecta; Blattodea; Blaberidae.